RNAcentral lists this long non-coding RNA (405 nucleotides) under Homo sapiens (human). Its description in RNAcentral is "HSALNT0396875". It matches the Rfam family "Eukaryotic large subunit ribosomal RNA", at positions 833 to 1548 of the family's 3401-position model. Lineage: Eukaryota; Metazoa; Chordata; Mammalia; Primates; Hominidae. The record is from RNAcentral.
AUGCCUGGGCAGGGCGAAGCGAGAGGAAACUCUGGUGGGGGUCUGUAGUGGUCCUGACGUGCAAAUCGGUCAUCUGAUCUGGGUAUAGGGGCAAAAGACUAAUCCAACCAUCUAGUAGCUGGUUCCCUCUGAAGUUUUCCUAAGGAUAACGGGCGCUCUCGCAAAAACCCCAUGCCACGCAGUUAUUUGGUAAAGCGAAUGAUUAGGGGUCUUGGAGUCAAAAUGAUCUCAACCAAUUCUCAAACUUUAAAUGGGUUAGAAGCCCAGCUCGAUGGCAUGGGGCCAGGUGCAGAUCUUGGUGGUAGUAGCAAAUAUUCAAAUGAGAACUUUGAAGGCCGAAGUGGAGAAGGAAGUUGCUUGAUCUUGAUUUUCAGUAUGAAUACAGACCGGGAAAGCAGGGCCUCA